Molecule: long non-coding RNA, 348 nt
Organism: Drosophila subobscura
Lineage: Eukaryota; Metazoa; Arthropoda; Insecta; Diptera; Drosophilidae
Exons: 3
Source: RefSeq, a predicted model, not a curated record
UCUGAAAAUAAAGAAGCUCAGGGACCAAUUGGCCAAGGAGGAGCAAGUCAUGCUAGGUAGCUCCCGAAUUGAUGAACAGCAAGAUGGUUGCAUGGAGUGCACUGGACUGUUUUUAUACUUUUCAUAACCUCGAGCCCAUUCAAAUUCAUGGAUGAUCAUCUCAAGAUAGAACCGGUGACUGAGCAUCGAAAGAAAAUUGACUUCUUCAGACAGCUAAGAAAUCAAUCUCAAAUUGCCGCCAAGAGACGAGCGCAGUAGCUGAUUCAGCUGCUGGUCUCUGAAGCUAACAUUGGUGUUUGACAUGUGCAUUAUGUUGCUACAUCCAGCCAGAUCCACCAAAUUGAAAAC